GAAAGAUUAGCAAUCCCCGCAAAGCCCACGUUCUUCGAGGAACAGUGCGCUAAAGACUUAAUCACCAGGAGGAUGAGUCCGCGUCCGAAUCCAAGCUUUCGGUGGGGGGAAUGGCCGGACCAAAAGCGACGAUCGGUAGCCUGGUUCUGAGAAGGAGAUCAAGCCACAACGUGGAAACUGAGACACGGUCCAGACUCCUUACGGGAGGCAGCAGUAGGGAAUAUUGCGCAAUGGGGGAAACCACUGACGCAGCGACGCCGCGUGAGUGAUGAAGGCCUUCGGGUUGUAAAGCUCUGUUCUACAGGAACAAAAAAAUGAGUGUACUGUAGAAGAAAGGACCGGCUAACUCCGUGCCAUGCAGCCGCGGUAAUACGGGGGGUCCUAGCGUUGUUCGGAAUCAUUGGGCGUAAAGCGGGUGUAGGCGGAUUGAUAAGUCAGAAGUGAAAGCCCCAGGCUCAACCCGGGAAGUGCUUUUGAUACUGUCAAUCUUGAGAGUGGGAGAGGGUAGUAGAAUUCCUGGUGUAGUGGUGAAAUACGUAGAUAUCAGGAGGAACACCGGUGGCGAAGGCGGCUGCCUGGCCCAACACUGACGCUCAGACCCGAAAGCGUGUAGCAAACAGGAUUAGAUACCCUGGUAGUCCACGCCGUAAACACUGGACACUUGUUGUUGGAGGUAUUGACCCCUUCAGUGACGGUAGCUAACGCGUUAAGUGUCCCGCCUGGGGAGUACGGCCGCAAGGUUAAAACUCAAAUGAAUUGACGG
Molecule: ribosomal RNA, 763 nt
Filed under: uncultured delta proteobacterium
Lineage: Bacteria; Deltaproteobacteria
Description: bacterial SSU rRNA
Rfam family: Bacterial small subunit ribosomal RNA
Source: RNAcentral